RNAcentral lists this transfer RNA (106 nucleotides) under Fusarium tricinctum. RNAcentral's name for it is "tRNA-Met". It matches the Rfam family "tRNA". Rfam says of the family: Transfer RNA (tRNA) molecules are approximately 80 nucleotides in length. Lineage: Eukaryota; Fungi; Ascomycota; Sordariomycetes; Hypocreales; Nectriaceae. The record is from RNAcentral.
GGUGGUGUAGCUCAGUUGGCUAGAGCGUUGGUCUCAUAGUUUGCCUAUGAUUUGGUCUAAGAUCAGAGUGAUCCAAAGGUCGAGAGUUCGAGCCUCUCCACCGCCA